Octodon degus (degu) is the source of this 160-nucleotide long non-coding RNA. RefSeq lists it as uncharacterized. The transcript is spliced from 3 exons. The record is from RefSeq and is a predicted model, not a curated record. NCBI's taxonomy places the organism in Eukaryota, Metazoa, Chordata, Mammalia, Rodentia, Octodontidae.
GGAUAUGGGAUUUGGUCUCUUUGAUUGAUCAUCAAAAAGCAAACUAUUCAGCCUGCCUAAUUGGCAAAACAAGGAAUAAAGGCAUAUUCUCUUUCAAAAAAAAAAAAAAAAAAAAAAAAAAAAGAACUAAAUCCCGGAACCUUGUGCUUGCUAGGUAAAU